This 70-nucleotide transfer RNA is filed under the name Perisphaerus sp. 2 ZQW-2023b. RNAcentral describes it as "tRNA-Leu". Lineage: Eukaryota; Metazoa; Arthropoda; Insecta; Blattodea; Blaberidae. The record is from RNAcentral.
UCUAAUAUGGCAGAUAAGUGCCAUAGAUUUAAGAUCUAUAAAUAAAGAACCAUUAAAUCUUUUAUUAGAA